GGAAAAGGCCUUUGUUUAGUAGUUAGAGCAUCUGCUCUGCAUGCAGAAGGCUCUGGGUUCAAUCCCCAUAGUCUCUCCA
Non-coding RNA from Podarcis lilfordi (Lilford's wall lizard), 79 nucleotides. The record is from the annotation of a GenBank genome assembly. Lineage: Eukaryota; Metazoa; Chordata; Lepidosauria; Squamata; Lacertidae.